UACAAAGGGGGCUAGCGUUGCUCGGAAUGACUGGGCGUAAAGGGCGCGUAGGCGGCCUUCUAAGUCGAACGUGAAAUCCCCGGGCUCAACCCGGGAACUGCGUCCGAUACUGGGAGGCUUGAAUCCGGGAGAGGGAUGUGGAAUUCCAGGUGUAGCGGUGAAAUGCGUAGAUAUCUGGAGGAACACCGGUGGCGAAGGCGGCAUCCUGGACCGGUAUUGACGCUGAGGCGCGAAAGCUAGGGGAGCAAACGGGG
RNAcentral lists this ribosomal RNA (254 nucleotides) under uncultured bacterium. RNAcentral describes it as "partial 16S ribosomal RNA". It matches the Rfam family "Bacterial small subunit ribosomal RNA", at positions 524 to 777 of the family's 1533-position model. The record is from RNAcentral.